CUCAGAUUGAACGCUGGCGGCAGGCCUAACACAUGCAAGUCGAGCGGUAGAGAGAAGCUUGCUUCUCUUGAGAGCGGCGGACGGGUGAGUAAUGCCUAGGAAUCUGCCUGGUAGUGGGGGAUAACGUUCGGAAACGGACGCUAAUACCGCAUACGUCCUACGGGAGAAAGCAGGGGACCUUCGGGCCUUGCGCUAUCAGAUGAGCCUAGGUCGGAUUAGCUAGUUGGUGAGGUAAUGGCUCACCAAGGCGACGAUCCGUAACUGGUCUGAGAGGAUGAUCAGUCACACUGGAACUGAGACACGGUCCAGACUCCUACGGGAGGCAGCAGUGGGGAAUAUUGGACAAUGGGCGAAAGCCUGAUCCAGCCAUGCCGCGUGUGUGAAGAAGGUCUUCGGAUUGUAAAGCACUUUAAGUGGGAGGAAGGGUUGUAGAUUAAUACUCUGCAAUUUUGACGUUACCGACAGAAUAAGCACCGGCUAACUCUGUGCCAG
RNAcentral lists this ribosomal RNA (492 nucleotides) under Pseudomonas sp. RNAcentral describes it as "bacterial SSU rRNA". It matches the Rfam family "Bacterial small subunit ribosomal RNA", at positions 23 to 511 of the family's 1533-position model. The record is from RNAcentral. Lineage: Bacteria; Pseudomonadati; Pseudomonadota; Gammaproteobacteria; Pseudomonadales; Pseudomonadaceae.